UCGGGUAUGGUGUAACGGCUAACAUUGCCGCCUCUCAUUCAGAACAAUUGUUCAAGUGCGCGGCAGCUCGGGGUUCGAUUCCCCGUACCCGAA
This is a non-coding RNA of Tephrocybe sp. NHM501043, 93 nucleotides long. The record is from the annotation of a GenBank genome assembly. NCBI's taxonomy places the organism in Eukaryota, Fungi, Basidiomycota, Agaricomycetes, Agaricales, Lyophyllaceae.